Molecule: ribosomal RNA, 397 nt
Filed under: uncultured bacterium
Lineage: Bacteria
Description: partial 16S ribosomal RNA
Rfam family: Bacterial small subunit ribosomal RNA
Source: RNAcentral
AUACGUAGGUGACAAGCGUUAUCCGGAUUUACUGGGCGUAAAGGGCGUGUAGGCGGUCUUGCAAGUCAGAAGUGAAAUUCCUGAGCUCAACUCGGGCGCUGCUUCUGAAACUGCAGGACUUGAGUGCUGGAGGGGAUAGCGGAAUUCCUAGUGGAGCGGUAAAAUGCGCAGAUAUUAGGAAGAACACCGGUGGCGAAGGCGGCUAGCUGGACAGUAACUGACGCUGAGGCGCGAAAGCGUGGGGAGCAAACAGGAGUAGAUACCCUGGUAGUCCGCGCCGUAAACGAUGAAUACUAGGUGUAGGGGGUAUCGACUCCCUCUGUGCCGCAGUUAACACAAUAAGUAUUCCGCCUGGGGAGUACGGCCGCAAGGUUGAAACUCAAAUGAAUUGACGGGG